RNAcentral lists this ribosomal RNA (292 nucleotides) under uncultured bacterium. RNAcentral describes it as "partial 16S ribosomal RNA". It matches the Rfam family "Bacterial small subunit ribosomal RNA", at positions 505 to 796 of the family's 1533-position model. The record is from RNAcentral.
GUGUCAGCAGCCGCGGUAAUACGGAGGGUGCAAGCGUUAUCCGGAUUCACUGGGUUUAAAGGGUGCGUAGGUGGGUUGGUAAGUCAGUGGUGAAAUCUCCGAGCUUAACUUGGAAACUGCCGUUGAUACUAUCAAUCUUGAAUAUCGCGUAGGUAAGCGGAAUAUGUCAUGUAGCGGUGAAAUGCUUAGAUAUGACAUAGAACACCAAUUGCGAAGGCAGCUUACUUCACGAUCAUUGACACUGAGGCACGAAAGCGUGGGGAGCAAACAGGAUUAGAAACCCUUGUAGUCC